CCCUUAGAUGUUCUGGACCGCACGCGCGCUACACUGAUGCAUUCAACAAGCCUAGCCUUGACCGAGAGGUCCGGGUAAUCUUUGAAACUGCAUCGUGAUGGGGCUAGAUUAUUGCAAUUAUUAAUCUUCAACGAGGAAUUCCUAGUAAACGCAAGUCAUCAACUUGCAUUGAUUACGUCCCUGCCCUUUGUACACACCGCCCGUCGCACCUACCGAUUGAAUGGUCCGGUGAAGCCUCCGGAUUGGCGCGCACCUCGGUGCCGCCGAGAAGUUGGCUAAACCUUACCAUUUAGAGGAAGGUGAAGUCGUAACA
Molecule: ribosomal RNA, 313 nt
Filed under: uncultured eukaryote
Lineage: Eukaryota
Description: partial 18S ribosomal RNA
Rfam family: Eukaryotic small subunit ribosomal RNA
Source: RNAcentral